GAUGAAGAACGCAGCGAAAUGCGAUAACUAAUGUGAAUUGCAGAAUUCCGUGAAUCAUCGAGUCUUUGAACGCACAUUGCGCCCCCUGGUAUUCCGGGGGGCAUGCCUGUCCGAGCGUCAUUGCUGCCCAUCAAGCACGGCUUGUGUGUUGGGUCCUCGUCUCCCCCGGGGGACGUGCCCGAAAGGCAGCGGCGGCACCGCGUCCGGUCCUCGAGCGUAUGGGGCUUUGUCACCCGCUCUGCAGGCCCGGCCGGCGCUGGCCGACGCGAAAGCAACCAUUUUUUCUCCAGGUUGACCUCGGAUCAGGUAGGGAUACCCGCUGAACUUAAGCAUAUCAAUAAGCGGAGGA
This 349-nucleotide unclassified non-coding RNA is filed under the name soil metagenome. Its description in RNAcentral is "partial contains 5.8S ribosomal RNA, internal transcribed spacer 2, and large subunit ribosomal RNA". The stretch from base 1 to 120 matches the Rfam family "5.8S ribosomal RNA", at positions 35 to 154 of the family's 154-position model. The record is from RNAcentral.